CUCCGAUUGCCUAAGUGGUUAGAGCGUCUGCCUCGGAUGCAGGAGGUCGCGGAUUUGAACCCCCGCCGAGUCAUACCAGAGA
Molecule: non-coding RNA, 82 nt
Organism: Potamilus streckersoni
Lineage: Eukaryota; Metazoa; Mollusca; Bivalvia; Unionida; Unionidae
Source: the annotation of a GenBank genome assembly